RNAcentral lists this ribosomal RNA (425 nucleotides) under uncultured bacterium. RNAcentral describes it as "partial 16S ribosomal RNA". It matches the Rfam family "Bacterial small subunit ribosomal RNA", at positions 354 to 796 of the family's 1533-position model. The record is from RNAcentral.
GUGGGGAAUCUUAGACAAUGGGCGCAAGCCUGAUCUAGCCAUGCCGCGUGAGCGAUGAAGGCCUUAGGGUUGUAAAGCUCUUUCGUGGGGGAAGAUAAUGACUGUACCCCAAGAAGAAGCCCCGGCUAACUCCGUGCCAGCAGCCGCGGUAAUACGGAGGGGGCUAGCGUUGUUCGGAAUUACUGGGCGUAAAGCGCACGUAGGCGGACUGGAAAGUCAGGGGUGAAAUCCCGGGGCUCAACCCCGGAACUGCCUUUGAAACUCCCAGUCUUGAGGUCGAGAGAGGUGGGUGGAAUUCCGAGUGUAGAGGUGAAAUUCGUAGAUAUUCGGAGGAACACCAGUGGCGAAGGCGGCUUACUGGUCCAUUACUGACGCUGAGGUGCGAAAGCGUGGGGAGCAAACAGGAUUAGAAACCCUGGUAGUCC